UACGUAGGGGGCGAGCGUUGUCCGGAAUCAUUGGGCGUAAAGCGCGCGCAGGCGGCCGCGAGAGCCCGGCGUGAAAGCCCCCGGCUCAACCGGGGGAGGCCGUCGGGGACCUCGGGGCUGGAGGCCGGCAGGGGCGGGUGGAAUUCCCGGUGUAGUGGUGGAAUGCGUAGAGAUCGGGAGGAACACCGGUGGCGAAGGCGGCCCGCUGGGCCGGACCUGACGCUGAGGCGCGAAAGCGUGGGGAGCGAUCCGG
RNAcentral lists this ribosomal RNA (253 nucleotides) under uncultured bacterium. RNAcentral describes it as "partial 16S ribosomal RNA". It matches the Rfam family "Bacterial small subunit ribosomal RNA", at positions 524 to 776 of the family's 1533-position model. The record is from RNAcentral.